CCUACGGGAGGCAGCAGUGGGGAAUAUUGGACAAUGGGGGGAACCCUGAUCCAGCCAUGCCGCGUGUGUGAAGAAGGCCCUCGGGUUGUAAAGCACUUUCAGUGGGGAAGAACGCCUCGUUGUCAAUACCCAUCAGGAAAGACAUCACUCACAGAAGAAGCACCGGCUAACGCCGUGCCAGCAGCCGCGGUAAUACGGAGGGGGCGAGCGUUAAUCGGAAUUACUGGGCGUAAAGCGUGCGUAGGUGGCUUGAUAAGCCGGUUGUGAAAGCCCCGGGCUCAACCUGGGAACGGCAUCCGGAACUGUCAAGCUUGAGUGUAGGAGAGGAAGGUAGAAUUCCCGGUGUAGCGGUGAAAUGCGUAGAGAUCGGGAGGAAUACCAGUGGCGAAGGCGGCCUUCUGGACUGACACUGACGCUGAGGUGCGAAAGCGUGGGUAGCAAACAGGAUUAGAUACCCCUGUAGUC
RNAcentral lists this ribosomal RNA (465 nucleotides) under Vreelandella stevensii. RNAcentral describes it as "partial 16S ribosomal RNA". It matches the Rfam family "Bacterial small subunit ribosomal RNA", at positions 338 to 795 of the family's 1533-position model. Lineage: Bacteria; Pseudomonadati; Pseudomonadota; Gammaproteobacteria; Oceanospirillales; Halomonadaceae. The record is from RNAcentral.